Molecule: RNA transcript, 5207 nt
Organism: Schistocerca nitens (vagrant locust)
Lineage: Eukaryota; Metazoa; Arthropoda; Insecta; Orthoptera; Acrididae
Gene: Rpp21
Gene name: ribonuclease P protein subunit p21
Exons: 3
Source: RefSeq, a predicted model, not a curated record
CAUCUUCUUCAGGAGCAACACCUUCCCAACCAUCGGGGACAUCAGCUCCCCCUUCCCAGCCGGAGAAGCGUCAGACUUCUUCGGCUACUCUCGCGAGGAAGGGAUCCCUUGGGGACCUCCCUUCACAAGUUCCGCCCGGUGGAAAAGCGGACGCCCGCAAGUGUUUGAAACAACCACCAGUCCCUGGUCGCAGGGCCUCACGAUCGUCGUCUGUCCCUGAGACUGACCCUGUGAAGGCCAUGAAGCCUGAACCACCGAAGGCACAGCGCGAGAAGCAGAAAAAGAAGAAAGUCCCCCAGACCAACGCUCCUGCGGUGGCACCCAUCCCACCGCUUCCUACAAGCUCUGCCUCUGAGGACGAGGUGGAGAUUCUGGCGUCCGCUGAGGACCUCGAUCUCGCCGGUCCCUCGGACGCAAUGGAUAGCAUUUCCACGGGUGCUCCAUCGGAGGCAGCAGGUGACCCAGCGGCGUAGUCUGUCUUCCCAGAGCCGUCACGUCUUUCCCAGCCAUGGACAACACCAUCCUCCAGUGGAACUGCAGCGGUUUCUUCCACCAUCUAGCUGAGCUCCGACAACUUAUCAGCCUUCACCCUUUCUUCUGCAUUGCUCUUCAGGAAACUUGGUUUCCAGCAAUGCGAACCCCUGCCCUCCGUGGCUAUCGGGGUUAUUAUAAGAACCGAGCAGCUUAUGAAAGGGUGUCUGGUGGCAUCUGCAUAUAUGUCCUUCACACUCUGCACAGCGAGUCUGUCCCUCUCCAGACACCUUUAGAGGCUGUCGCUGUACGGGUUUGGACGCCACAGGCUGUUACCGUCUGCAGUCUUUACCUUCCACCGGAUGGUGAUGUCUCGCAGCAUGUCCUGGCUGCACUGGUAGCCCAAUUGCCGCCACCUUUCUUGCUAUUGGGCGACUUCAACGCCCAUAACCCUCUGUGGGGUGGGUCAGUGGCAACAGGUCGAGGCGCCAUCGUUGAGCAUUUAUUGUCGCAGCUCGAUCUCUCGCUGUUAAAUGAUGGUGCCUUCACACACUUCAGUAUGGCGCAUGGCACCUACUCCGCCAUUGACCUUUCCAUCUGUAGCCCUAGCCUCUUACUGUCUGUCCAAUGGAGUGUGCAUGACGACCUGUGUGGUAGUGACCACUUUCCGAUCUUUCUGUCACUACCACAGCGUCACUCUUCUGGGCACCCUAGCAGGUGGGCUAUGAAUAAGGCUGACUGGGACUUGUUCUCCUCCACUGCCGCUUUUGAGCCUCUCUCUACUGGUGACAUUGAUGCGGUGGUUCAAUCGGUCACCUCCGGCAUCGUUACUGCCGCCGAAUCUGCCAUUCCCCGUUCUUCUGGGUCCCCUCGGCGGAAGGCUGUGCCUUGGUGGUCGCCUGAGAUUGCUGAAGCGAUUAAAGAUCGCCGGCGGGCGCUCCAGCGUCACAAGCGACAUCCCUCCAUUGACCACCUUAUCGCCUUCAAACGGCUGCGUGCGUGGGCCCGCCUCCUUAUCCGCCAAGGCAAGAAGGAGUGCUGGGAGCGGUAUGUGUCCACCAUUGCCCUCCAUGUCACUUCUUCGCAGGUCUGGGCCAAGAUUCGACGUGUCUACGGCUAUCGGACCCCUGUCAGCGUCCCUGCGCUCUCACUGAAUGGAGCAGUUUGUACUGACUCCGACGUCAUUGCAAAUCGUUUAGCAGAGCAUUUUGCUAUGAGUUCUGGUUCUGCGAAUUACCCCCAGGCCUUCCGCUCCAUAAAGAGCGGAUGGAACGUCGGAGCCUUUCGUUUCGCACCAACCACCCAGAAUCUUACAAUGCUCCAUUCAGUGAGUGGGAAUUUCGCAGUGCCCUAGCUGCUUGCCCUGAUACCGCUCCUGGGCCAGAUGGCAUCCACUGUCAGAUGCUGAAACACCUUUCAGUGGACUGCCAGCAGCGCCUUCUCGAUCUUUACAACCGUCUUUGGGUCGAGGGGGAGUUUCCGUCGCAAUGGCGGGAAGGCGUUGUCAUCCCCGUUUUGAAACCUGGAAAGCCCCCUCUGGAGGUGGACAGCUACCGUCCCAUUAGCCUCACCAACGUUCUUUGCAAGUUGCUUGAACGGAUGGUGAGCCGGCACUUGCAUUGGGUACUGGAGUCUCGGGGCCUUCUGGCUCCGUCUCAGGGUGGGUUCCGUAAAGGCCGCUCUGCCACCGACAAUCUGGUGAGCCUGGAGUCGGCCAUCCGUACCGCCUUUGCCCGCCGCCAGCACCUGGUCGCUGUCUUUUUCGACAUGUGGAAGGCGUACGAUACGACAUGGCGUCAUCACAUCCUUUCUACGCUUCAUGGAUGGGGUCUUCGGGGUCCUCUGCCGAUUUUUAUCCACAAUUUUCUGUCGUGUCGUACCUUCCGCGUGCAAGUCGCGGCCUCGUAUUUAAGUGUCUGUCUGUUUUUAAUAGCCAUUAACGGGCUUGCUGCGGCCGUGGGAAAUUCUGUCUCCGCUUCCCUGUAUGCUGACGACUUCUGCCUUUAUUACAGCUCUCCUGGCAUUGCAGCUGUUGAACGUCAGCUACAGGGCGCUAUCCGUAAGGCGCAGUCUUGGGCUGUAGCGCAUGGGUUUCAGUUUUCGGCAGCCAAGACCCGGGUUAUGCAUUUCUGCCGGCGCCGAACAGUCCAUCCUGAGCCGCGGCUUUAUCUUGCCGACGAACUCCUUGCUGUGGUGGAGACCCACAGGUUUUUGGGGGUGGUUUUCGAUGCCCGGUUGACUUGGCUGCCUCAUAUUCGGCAGCUCAAACGGGCGUGUUGGUGGCAUCUCAAUGCGCUGCGAUGUUUGAGCCACGCCCGCUGGGGCGCCAACCACUCUACCCUGUUACGGCUCUACCAGGCGUUAAUCCAGUCCCGUCUGGAUUAUGGGUGCCUGGCAUAUGGCUCAGCAUCCCCGUCUGCGUUGCGGGUGCUGGACCCAAUUCUCCACAGCGGGAUACGCCUUGCCACUGGUGCUUUCCGCACCAGCCCUGUGGACAGCUUACUAGUGGAGGCAGGUGUCCUUCCACUGCGGUUCCGACGCCAAAAAUUACUGGCUGCUUAUGCUGCCCAUGUUUGUAGCUUGCCCGGUCAUCCAAAUUACCGUGUGCUGUUCCCGCAGUCGGUCGUCCAUCUGCCAGAGCGUCGGCCCCGGUCGGGUUGUCCGAUCGCCGUACGCGUUAAGGAGCUUCUCUCCAGGCUAGGAUUUUUCCCUGUUCCACCUCCUUUCCGGGCGCCUCUGCGUACACCCCCGUGGUGUGUUCCUCGCCCUUGCCUUCGGCUCGACUUGGCACAGGGCUCGAAGGACUCGGUCCCUCCAGAGGCAUUCCGCCGCCGCUUUUAUUCCAUCCUGGCCACGUAUCAGGGCUCUGGAAUUGUUUACACCGACGGUUCGAUGGUUGCUGGUUGUGUCGGGUAUGCGCUAACUCUAGGGGACCAUUCCGAACAACGGUCCUUGGCGGCUGGCUGCAGCGUUUACACUGCUGAGCUAGUCGCCAUCUUUCGAGCCCUAGAGUAUAUCCGCUCCUGCUCAGGUGAGUCCUUCGUUAUCUGUAGCGAUUCCCUGAGCGGUUUACGAGCUCUCGACCAGUGUUUUCCUCGUUCUCGUCUGGUGAUGGCUAUCCAUGAGUCCCUGCAUACUCUUGCGCGUUGCGGCCGCUCUGUGGUCUUUGUGUGGACCCCCGGUCAUGUCGGUAUCCCGGGCAAUGAACAGGUUGACCGCCUGGCGAAAGAGGCCACGAGACAACCGUCUCUGGGUGUUGGCCUCCCCGAGGCUGAUUUGCGGGCAGUCCUCCGCCGAAAAGUUCUUGCGCUUUGGGACACUGAAUGGCGCGAUCGGAUCACGCCAAAUAAACUCCGUGACAUUAAGGAGACGACGACUGUGUGGUGGUCAUCCAUGCGAGCCAACCGCAGGGACUCAGUCGUCCUUUGCCGGCUCCGCAUUGGCCACUCCCGGCUGACACACAGUUAUUUACUGUGCCGGGAGGACCCUCCUCUAUGUCGCUGUGGGGCGGCUUUGACAGUGGCCCACAUUUUGUUGGCCUGCCCCCUUUUAGCUGUGGUCAGGCAGACAUUUGCACUGGCUGCUACACUCCCUGCCCUUUUAACAGUCGACUCCACUAUGGCUGACUUAGUUUUACGUUUUAUUCGGGCAGGGGGAUUUUAUCAUUUAAUCUGAGUGUUUCAGUUUUAUUUUAUUGUUUUGUGUUGAUUCUGGCCUUUGGCCUAUGAUUUUAAACUGAAUUUUUAAUGUGUUUCUAAGUGGUUGGCUUUUCCUUUUUUAUUUCUAUGGUCGGCCAACCACCGUCACACUCUGUGUGGUUUUAGUUCGUUUUGUCUUGUCUUUGUCUCAGUUUUUCUUGUUCUGUAUCGUCUGUGAUCUCUUCUGUUCCUCGUUUUUAUUCUCUUUGGGUGUUCUUUGUAUUUGGAACAAGGGACCGAUGACCGUAGCAGUCUGGUCCCUUUAAUCCCCCAAACCAACCAACCUUUGUGCAUCUACACACUGUCAUAAGGUUGUACACAGAACUGGGGCUCACCCGAAAAGACAGCAUGGUGCAACUUCCAGCACCUCUCUCGACUGCAGCACCAAGGGAAGCCGCAACAGUAGUUGCCACUGUGAGGCAGUGACGAGUGCUCUAGACAACACCACAGUAUGCAUAUGGAAAUGUGUCUUGCUGCUAACAAGCAGACUCAAGAUAUGUGUGGUGUCUGUAGAAUCUGCCUGGCUUAGUGAGAAAAAUGUCACCUUUGGUGCUACUCAAGGGGAGCCAUUGAGAUCCCGUAUGGCAUUAUAGAUGCCCCUCCUGAACCCAUAGGUUCUAUUUGCAUGAUAUUCUUGGGGUCUUGACAAAUGUAAUCAGCAGCAGUGCGGAAUGAUAAACAACCGUCUCAAUAGGCCACAAUCCACCCAGCGUUCAAUUGCGACACAUGGCGGUAGACGUUUAGCCUCCUUAGACGAGGCAUAACAAGAGCUUCUCACAACCAACCAACAUUAAAAUGUGAUUUCUGGAAGAGGAACAUGGCCAGCAGUGUAUUUGCAAAAAACAAAAAAUCUAUGAAGAAAUUCCAGGAAGAAGAAGCAUUUCAGAGGAUGAAUUUUUUAUACCAGGGAUAUCAGCUUGAAACGCAGCAUUUGCAAGGGAUGUUCGAUACAGCUCAUCCCAGGUGUGACUGCUAAAGUCCGUAUAAAAAAUAGACCAACGCCAUGUGCGCUAUGGACAUGUACCAUCUGCAAUACUU